GUUGUGCAGGGGUACAGAACAUGGCAUUAUGUGGCCAUGAGCACGCGCGGCGUCUGACCGCCUGUGUGCACUCCAGGUGCACGUGAAGCAGCUGCGGGCAGCGUCCACGUGUUGCUUAGAACUAUAGCACUACUGAGAC
This 139-nucleotide small nucleolar RNA is filed under the name Drosophila mojavensis. Its description in RNAcentral is "snoRNA:GI25362". The record is from RNAcentral. Lineage: Eukaryota; Metazoa; Arthropoda; Insecta; Diptera; Drosophilidae.